RNAcentral lists this long non-coding RNA (479 nucleotides) under Oryctolagus cuniculus (rabbit). RNAcentral describes it as "lncRNA (ENSOCUG00000036396.1)". The record is from RNAcentral. Lineage: Eukaryota; Metazoa; Chordata; Mammalia; Lagomorpha; Leporidae.
AGGUGCCACGACGAGGCGAGCGCGCAGGAGGGGCGUGGCCUAAGCGCGAGGAGCGCGUUCUCCUCUGCUCCAGCCUCCCAGAGGCCCUGUGGGCCUCGCGGGGACGUCGGCCGCCUGCCUCCUCCACGGCCUGCGGAGACUGUGGGCUGGCGCGGGUCCCCGGCGCGGUGCGAGGGCCCGGAGCCGGCUCCCUGGGGGUUCGUGCGCCGCCCGGCCUCGGCUACCUCCAGCGCGCCUGCGUCGCCGCCGCCGGCGGACUCUGUUCCCGUAGAGGCCGCUAAGCUGAGUGAUUCCAUCUCACCGAUCGUCUGCACGUCCAUUCCUUCGUUUCUCCUAGUUCAGAAGCGACCCCUCGUUUCCCAGCGACAACGGCAGAUAGGACGAAACAGCGACAGGAAGCUGCGGGCGCUAAGGAGGGCUGCUGCUCUGCGAUACGGCAGCCAAACGAGGCAACCGCGGAGAGGGAGGAGCCCCCAGCA